ACACUCCUACGGGAGGCAGCAGUGGGGAAUUUUGGACAAUGGGCGAAAGCCUGAUCCAGCAAUGCCGCGUGAGUGAAGAAGGCCUUCGGGUUGUAAAGCUCUUUUGUCAGGGAAGAAACGGUGAGAGCUAAUAUCUUUUGCUAAUGACGGUACCUGAAGAAUAAGCACCGGCUAACUACGUGCCAGCAGCCGCGGUAAUACGUAGGGUGCAAGCGUUAAUCGGAAUUACUGGGCGUAAAGCGUGCGCAGGCGGUUUUGUAAGUCUGAUGUGAAAUCCCCGGGCUCAACCUGGGAAUUGCAUUGGAGACUGCAAGGCUAGAAUCUGGCAGAGGGGGGUAGAAUUCCACGUGUAGCAGUGAAAUGCGUAGAUAUGUGGAGGAACACCGAUGGCGAAGGCAGCCCCCUGGGUCAAGAUUGACGCUCAUGCACGAAAGCGUGGGGAGCAAACAGGAUUAGAAACCCGAGUAGUCCCAU
This 474-nucleotide ribosomal RNA is filed under the name uncultured organism. RNAcentral describes it as "partial 16S ribosomal RNA". It matches the Rfam family "Bacterial small subunit ribosomal RNA", at positions 333 to 798 of the family's 1533-position model. The record is from RNAcentral.